UCUGGUUGAUCCUGCCAGAGGUUACUGCUAUCGAGGUUCGACUAAGCCAUGCGAGUCGAAUGUAGCAAUACAUGGCGAACUGCUCAGUAACACGUGGACAACCUGCCCUUAGGUUGGGUAUAAACCCGGGAAACUGGGUAUAAUACCCGAUAGGUCUCGAUUGCUGGAAUGCAUCGAGAUUUAAAGCUCCGGCGCCUAAGGAUGGGUCUGCGGCCUAUCAGGUAGUAGUGGGUGUAGCGUACCUACUAGCCUACGACGGGUACGGGUUGUGAGAGCAAGAGCCCGGAGAUGGAUUCUGAGACACGAAUCCAGGCCCUACGGGGUGCAGCAGGCGCGAAAACUUUACAAUGCUGGCAACAGCGAUAAGGGAACCUCGAGUGCCAGGUUACAAAUCUGGCUGUCGAGAUGCCUAAAAAGCAUUUCAUAGCAAGGGCCGGGCAAGACCGGUGCCAGCCGCCGCGGUAACACCGGCGGCUCGAGUGGUAACCGUUAUUAUUGGGUCUAAAGGGUCUGUAGCCGGCCGGAUAAGUCUCUUGAGAAAUCUGGCAGCUUAACUGUCAGGCUUUCAGGAGAUACUGUCUGGCUCGAGGCCGGGAGAGGUGAGAGGUACUUCAGGGGUAGGGGUGAAAUCUUGUAAUCCUUGAAGGACCACCAGUGGCGAAGGCGUCUCACCAGAACGGACCUGACGGCAAGGGACGAAAGCUAGGGGCACGAACCGGAUUAGAUACCCGGGUAGUCCUAGCCGUAAACGAUACUCGCUAGGUGUCGGCCACGGUGCGACCGUUGUCGGUGCCGUAGGGAAGCCGUGAAGCGAGCCACCUGGGAAGUACGGCCGCAAGGCUGAAACUUAAAGGAAUUGGCGGGGGAGCACCACAACGGGUGGAGCUUGCGGUUUAAUUGGGAUUCAACGCCGGAA
This 916-nucleotide ribosomal RNA is filed under the name uncultured archaeon. RNAcentral's name for it is "bacterial SSU rRNA". It matches the Rfam family "Archaeal small subunit ribosomal RNA", at positions 1 to 923 of the family's 1478-position model. The record is from RNAcentral.